Non-coding RNA from Peromyscus maniculatus bairdii (prairie deer mouse), 950 nucleotides. The record is from RefSeq and is a predicted model, not a curated record. NCBI's taxonomy places the organism in Eukaryota, Metazoa, Chordata, Mammalia, Rodentia, Cricetidae.
CACACAGAGGCCACAUAACUUCCCAGAACCACACCAUGAGUCAGUGUCCGCACAGAAUGGAGAAACCUGGCCCCAGGUUCCCAGGUCCAGCACUGGGAUUUUCUUGGGUCCUAGAACAUACUGUUCCUUUAUUUAUUCCUUAGGUAAACCACCUUUCCUGAGUCCCCAGUAAUACGUAAAGCUGUCAUCAUUUUUAAACACCACUGAAGGCAGGUCAGCGUGUUCAGAGAUCAGAGAAACGUAACUUCCUGUUUAAUGUCUGGGAAAGACUGGAAGAGGAAAAACGCUGAGAAUUUGAAAAGACAAAAGUGUCUGCCGUCUGAAAUGAUACUCUUUAUGGAACUUAGGCUAAUGGCAUGUUGCUGAAUCGCUCUCAAGCCCAACUGAUCCCACUCAAGUUCUUGCCAACAGUGUAUGAACUUCUUCCUGGUCCACAGCCACGCCGGGACUUGGCAUCAUCACACGAUGUCUGCAUAUAACCGACAAAUUUCCCACUGCAAGUGCAUCUGGGAAUUUUUAUUUUGUGUUGAGUCACUUUGUGAGUCGUCUGCUUGUGUUUUACUUUCUGGGUCUCCUGCUCGUAGCUUUUGCUGUUCUCCGGCAUCACCUCGCUUCUACAGACAUCAUUUCCUCUGCAGAUUGUGUGAACAGAGCGUGUAUAAACUGUAAGAAUUGAGGACACGAGGUGAUUUGCCUGAAAGAGUCCCGUUCUAAGCCACCUAGAAGAGAGACCAGUUGAGCUGCCUAGACAGACGCUCAGACCAACUGAAGUACCUGGAAAGGACACUCUUCAGCCUGGUGAGCUGCCUCCAGACCGUGCAAUGCACUCUAAGUUCCAGUUUUCAUGAGCUGUCACCCAUGAUGGGGUGGGUUUUGGUGGUGCAGCUGUCAUGAGUCCUGUAAAGAACCCCUCACCGGUAUUCCUGUAAGUAAGACCAAUAAAACUAACU